Molecule: ribosomal RNA, 434 nt
Filed under: uncultured bacterium
Lineage: Bacteria
Description: bacterial SSU rRNA
Rfam family: Bacterial small subunit ribosomal RNA
Source: RNAcentral
GUCGAGGAUCUUCGGCAAUGGGCGAAAGCCUGACCGAGCGACGCCGCGUGUGCGAUGAAGGCCUUCGGGUUGUAAAGCACUGUCGUGGGGGAGAAAGCCCGCAAGGGUCGAUCGACCUCAGGAGGAAGCUCGGGCUAAGUUCGUGCCAGCAGCCGCGGUAAGACGAACCGAGCGAACGUUAUUCGGAAUCACUGGGCUUAAAGGGCGCGUAGGCGGGCCAUCAAGUCAGGGGUGAAAGCCUCCAGCUCAACUGGAGAAGUGCCUCUGAUACUGGUGGUCUCGAGGGAGGUAGGGGCGUGCGGAACUUCCGGUGGAGCGGUGAAAUGCGUAGAUAUCGGAAGGAACACCGGUGGCGAAAGCGGCGCGCUGGACCUCUUCUGACGCUGAGGCGCGAAAGCCAGGGGAGCGAACGGGAUUAGAAACCCUUGUAGUCC